CGGUGGAGUAUGUGGUUAAUUCGAUGCAACGCGAAGAACCUUACCUGGUCUUGACAUCCCGGAGACCCUUAGGAAACUAGGGGGUGCCUCCAUCUGGAAGAAUCUGGAGACAGGUGCUGCAUGGCUGUCGUCAGCUCGUGUCGUGAGAUGUUGGGUUAAGUCCCGCAACGAGCGCAACCCUUGCCUUUAGUUGCCAGCAGUUCGGCUGGGCACUCUAAAGGGACUGCCGGUGUUAAACCGGAGGAAGGUGGGGAUGACGUCAAGUCCUCAUGGCCUUUAUGACCAGGGCUACACACGUACUACAAUGGCCGAUACAAAGGGCAGCGACACUGCGAGGUGAAGCCAAUCCCGUAAAAUCGGUCUCAGUCCGGAUUGGAGUCUGCAACUCGACUCCAUGAAGUUGGAAUCGCUAGUAAUCGUGGAUCAGCAUGCCACGGUGAAUACGUUCCCGGGCCUU
This 457-nucleotide ribosomal RNA is filed under the name uncultured Desulfobulbus sp. RNAcentral describes it as "bacterial SSU rRNA". It matches the Rfam family "Bacterial small subunit ribosomal RNA", at positions 930 to 1382 of the family's 1533-position model. The record is from RNAcentral. Lineage: Bacteria; Pseudomonadati; Thermodesulfobacteriota; Desulfobulbia; Desulfobulbales; Desulfobulbaceae.